This 301-nucleotide ribosomal RNA is filed under the name uncultured bacterium. RNAcentral describes it as "partial 16S ribosomal RNA". It matches the Rfam family "Bacterial small subunit ribosomal RNA", at positions 509 to 808 of the family's 1533-position model. The record is from RNAcentral.
CAGAGCCACGGGAACACGGAGGGUGCAAGCGUUAAUCGGAAUUACUGGGCGUAAAGCGCACGCAGGCGGUCUGUCAAGUCAGAUGUGAAAUCCCCGGGCUUAACCUGGGAACUGCAUUUGAAACUGGCAGGCUAGAGUCUUGUAGAGGGGGGUAGAAUUCCAGGUGUAGCGGUGAAAUGCGUAGAGAUCUGGAGGAAUACCGGUGGCGAAGGCGGCCCCCUGGACAAAGACUGACGCUCAGGUGCGAAAGCGUGGGGAGCAAACAGGAUUAGAUACCCCUGUAGUCCCUGUCUCUUAUACA